Molecule: ribosomal RNA, 206 nt
Filed under: uncultured bacterium
Lineage: Bacteria
Description: partial 16S ribosomal RNA
Rfam family: Bacterial small subunit ribosomal RNA
Source: RNAcentral
UGCGUAGGUGGUUUCUUAAGUCAGAGGUGAAAGGCUACGGCUCAACAGUAGUAAGCCUUUGAAACUGGGAAACUUGAGUGCAGGAGAGGAGAGUGGAAUUCCUAGUGUAGCGGUGAAAUGCGUAGAUAUUAGGAGGAACACCAGUUGCGAAGGCGGCUCUCUGGACUGUAACUGACACUGAGGCACGAAAGCGUGGGGAGCAAACA